UACGUAGGGUGCAAGCGUUGCCCGGAUUUAUUGGGCGUAAAGGGCGCGUAGGCGGCUCUGCACGUUCGUUGUGAAAUCGCCCGGCUCAACUGGGCGGGGUCAGCGGAUACGGCAGAGCUUGAGCAAGCUAGGGGGCAAUGGAAUUCCCGGUGUAGUGGUGGAAUGCGUAGAUAUCUGGAGGAACACCGGUGGCGAAGGCGGCGUCCUGGACCAACACUGACACUGAUGAGCGAAAGCCAGGGGAGCAAACGGG
RNAcentral lists this ribosomal RNA (253 nucleotides) under uncultured bacterium. RNAcentral's name for it is "partial 16S ribosomal RNA". It matches the Rfam family "Bacterial small subunit ribosomal RNA", at positions 524 to 776 of the family's 1533-position model. The record is from RNAcentral.